AUAGCAUGAAAGAGCAGUGGAUUGAAAAUUCACGUGUCGGCGGUUCAAAUCCGUCUCGGGCCA
This 63-nucleotide transfer RNA is filed under the name Akkermansiaceae bacterium. RNAcentral's name for it is "tRNA-Phe". It matches the Rfam family "tRNA". Rfam says of the family: Transfer RNA (tRNA) molecules are approximately 80 nucleotides in length. Their secondary structure includes four short double-helical elements and three loops (D, anti-codon, and T loops). The record is from RNAcentral. Lineage: Bacteria; Pseudomonadati; Verrucomicrobiota; Verrucomicrobiia; Verrucomicrobiales; Akkermansiaceae.